This is a long non-coding RNA of Carya illinoinensis, 483 nucleotides long. RefSeq lists it as uncharacterized. Lineage: Eukaryota; Viridiplantae; Streptophyta; Magnoliopsida; Fagales; Juglandaceae. The record is from RefSeq and is a predicted model, not a curated record. The transcript has 2 exons.
CAGCUGAUCUCGGGGACUUGGAGUUGGAGCAAGAGAUGGUUCCCAGGGCCUCUCUCACCAUCCUCUUCAUUGCGCUCCUAAUUUCGGCUGAAUUAAUGGCUCCAUCGGAAACCAGAUCAACAAACAUGCCGACCGGAGUACUACCAAAGACUAGAUACCAUGGCGAGUACCUUGGCACCAGUCAAAUUGAGGGUCGUCAUCAUGGUUCACCAUGGGGCCCAAGUUGUGCAAUAUCACCGUGCCACUGCCCCCGGCCACCAUGCUAGCAGUUGGUCUUGGCUGAAGGUGGACCUGUAUCCUCGAGUCUGUGACCGAUCGUUGUUCAAAUACUUUAAUAAUUAUCUAAAUCUUUAAUCUUAUGUGACAGCAGGAUAAGAAUGAGAUAUUAUGUAUAAUGGUCCUGGUGAUCAAAAAGAAUCAAUACCUGCACACAUGUAUAAUGAAUAUAAUGACUCAAUUAUAAAAUCUUUAUUUGAAUUUUCA